GACACCAUCGCAUAGUGGUAUUGCACUUGCUUGGAAAGCAAGGCCCUUUGGGCUCCUAGGUUCGAUUCCUAGUGGUGUCG
Molecule: transfer RNA, 80 nt
Filed under: Tupanvirus deep ocean
Lineage: Varidnaviria; Bamfordvirae; Nucleocytoviricota; Megaviricetes; Imitervirales; Mimiviridae
Also listed under: 1 other name
Description: tRNA-Ser
Rfam family: tRNA
About the family: Transfer RNA (tRNA) molecules are approximately 80 nucleotides in length. Their secondary structure includes four short double-helical elements and three loops (D, anti-codon, and T loops).
Source: RNAcentral